This is an RNA transcript of Homo sapiens (human), 1217 nucleotides long. It is a transcript of the gene named proline rich protein HaeIII subfamily 1, with no coding region annotated. The transcript has 4 exons. The record is from RefSeq and is marked reviewed. Lineage: Eukaryota; Metazoa; Chordata; Mammalia; Primates; Hominidae.
GAGUCGGCCAUCAUGCUGGCCCCGGAGGCCGUUAGCUUAGUCAUGGCUCUAAAUAUGUACCUGCAAUCGGAUGUUGAGGAUCACCGAGCCCGCGACGUAGAAGUACGGGAAGUUCAUGCGCAGCUGCCAGGCCAGCUCGAAGAAGGCGAGCAGGGUGCGGGAGAGCCCCUUGCAGAAGACGCCGUACGAGGUUCUCCAGCAUUUGGCUCAAGGCCCCAAGGGCACAUGUGACAAGAAGGCGCCAGCUUUUUAAACAUUGGAAGUUCUUCUGUGUCAGUUCUGUGACAGAACAUUUACUUAACACAUCAUGAAGGCUAGUUUGGAUGUGGAGGGGAAUAGACUCCAUCUAUCCAUAUGAGCUGCUGCAGAAGAAUAUUUUGCCUGCUGGAACCUGCUGUAUCUACUCAAGAGUGGAAGUUUUCACAGGAGGAGGCUGUAGAACGAACCUGUCCUCAUGCUCAGCCAAACUACUGCAAUUAUAUACCCUUCAUUUCAUUCAUUCAUCCUAAUUUGGGGAAGCAAGAAGCUGAAACAGACCUUUCUUUUGAUUUUGUGUCAGAUUAAGUGCUGAGUAAAAGACCUGAAACUCUCAAAUUUCUAGAUUCACAAGUGGGACAUCGUGUGUCUCCAAGAGAAAACAAACUGAUGUUGUCUGGAACAUUUUAUACUUUCCACUGGUUUUUCUGUAUUGUAUGUUUUUGAGUAAUUUCCAAAAGUAUAUCUAGAAAAGUCUUUUACCUAAAGUUAGUCUAAAAAGUAUCUAUAUAUGCAUGUGUAUGUGUAUAUGAAACACUUAAGAGAGAGUGGCAAUAACAUAAUCAUUUUUUACAAACUGCCAAAUUAUAGAAAAUAUUGUAAGAAAUUUUUCAGAAUCAUGAAGCCAUGUGUAUUCACAAUACAGUUCAUAUUAUCAUGUUUCAUUUGAAAAAUUUAUGAUCUCUAUUUAUAAUUGUUAAGAACUUACAGCUUAUUUCACAAAAUCAUUGCUCUUUUCCACUGUUAUUUGUACCAUACGUAUGUACCAUAGUGUGCUUAAACGUGAUUAUUUGAACGUCUAGUUUUUUGGAUGGUAUGCGCAUUCUAAUCUAAAUCAAUAAUGAAGUUUUAUCUUUGGGGUAGUUUUUGUUGCAUAAUGAAUUCUAAUUUUAUGUUUAAUUUAAAGCAAACAAUUAUUGUUAGAAAACUAUGCACAAAAUAAAAUUCAAGGAUGAAAAAUA